RNAcentral lists this ribosomal RNA (418 nucleotides) under uncultured bacterium. RNAcentral describes it as "bacterial SSU rRNA". It matches the Rfam family "Bacterial small subunit ribosomal RNA", at positions 355 to 774 of the family's 1533-position model. The record is from RNAcentral.
UGGGGAAUCUUGCGCAAUGGCCGAAAGGCUGACGCAGCGACGCCGCGUGGAGGAUGACGCCCUUCGGGGUGUAAACUCCUGUUGCCCGGGACGAAUACCCGUUUCGACGGGGGUGACGGUACCGGGUGAGGAAGCACCGGCUAACUCUGUGCCAGCAGCCGCGGUAAUACAGAGGGUGCGAGCGUUGUCCGGAAUCACUGGGCGUAAAGGGCGCGUAGGCGGCUGGGUAAGCGUGUGGUGAAAGCCCGGGGCUCAACCCCGGGUCGGCCAUGCGAACUGUCCAGCUGGAGCACGGUAGAGGCACAUGGAAUUCCGGGUGUAGCGGUGGAAUGCGUAGAGAUCCGGAAGAACACCGGUGGCGAAGGCGGUGUGCUGGGCCGUGGCUGACGCUGAGGCGCGACAGCCAGGGGAGCAAACG